AUAACUCCACCUCGAGCUGACGCAGUCAGCGCCCCUUGACCCUACCGAAGAUGCUCUCACAGGAGGAGCGUUAGUGCCCGUGCUGUCAGUCACGUUCUGCGACAUCUCGUUGGCGGUUAGGCUGGAAGUUGGCACCCCUCGUUCUCCAGUGGUGCCCGUUAGUCGUUCAUAGGCCCGUCUCCAAGGGCCGUCGAUCUCCAUUUCGUGGCCCGAUCCGCCAUAUUGGAACCACUUGUUCAUCCCUCAAAUACCAAGCCGUUUGAGAAAGGGCGCUAGGGUCGAUCACGAGUUGCGUUGAGGCGGGAGUUGGAGGUGUCCUGCAACGGUAGCGACUCCGGGGUCGAAGCGGCCUGCAUUCAAGGGCCGAGGGGAGCUAGCCAUGGCCUACGGUGGCGGUGAGAGCAGGGGCUGGAGGUCCUGGAACGAUGGUACAGGUCCGACAGCGGAGCGGCGCCCCGGAACUGGUCAGCUCGGGGGGCCCGCCGCGACCGGCGGUGGUGGGAUGGGUGUAGGCAGGGAGCGGAGGUCCUGGAGCGCCGGUGCCGCUCCGACGGCGGAGCCGGGCCCCAGGACCAGUGGGGGCAGGGGCCGCAUCGUGGCCAGUGGGGGCACGGGGCGGGGGUCCCGGCCCUAUGGGACGGAUCCCACAGCGGAGCCGGGAGCCGGGGCUGGUGGGGGCAGGGGACGGGGGUCCCGGGCCUAUGAGGUCGGCCCCACAGCGGAGCCGGGCCCCGGGACUGGUAGGGGCAGGGGGCGGGGGUCCCGGGCCUAUGGGCCCGGUCCCACUGCGGAGCCGCGCCCCGGGAGUGGCAGGGGUCGCACCAUGACCCGUGGAGGCACGGGGCGCCCUAUGGUCUGUGGGGGCGGCAGGGUGAGUGAGGAUAGGCGGCAUGGGUCCUGGGCCUAUGAGACCGGUCCGACAGCGGAGCCGGGUCCCGGGACUGGCAGGGGUAGGGGCCGCACCAUGGCCCGUGGGGGCACAGGGCGCCCUAUGAUCUGUGGGGGCGGCAGGGUGAGUGAGGAUAGGCGGCAGGGGUCCUGGGCCUAUGGAGCCGGUCCCAUAGCGGAGCCGCGCCCCGGGACUGGCAGGGGCCGCACCAUGGUCUGUGCGGACGGCAGGGAGAGUGAGGGUAGGCGGCAGGGGUUCCGGGCCUAUGGGGCCGGUCCCACAGCGGAGCCGCGCCCCGGGACUGGCAGGGGCCGCACCAUGGUCUGUGGGGACGGCAGGGAGAGUGAGGGUAGGCGGCAGUGGUCCCGGGCCUAUGAGACCGGUCCGACAGCGGAGCCGGGUCCCGGGACUGGUAGGGGCAGGGGCCGCACCAUGGCCUCUGGGGGCCGGGGUUGGGGGUCCUGGGCCUAUGGGGCCGGUCCCACAGCGGAGCCGGGUCCCGGCACUGAUAGGGGCAGGGGCCGUACCAUUGCCGCCGGGGGCCUGGGGUGGGGGUCCUGGGCCUAUGGGGCCGGUCCCACAGCGGAGCCGGGUCCAGGGACUGGUAGAGACAGGGGCCGCACCGUGGCCUGUGGGCUCUGGGUGAAUGUGGACAGGAAGCGGGCGUCCUGGGUUUACGGGACGGGUCCGACAGCGGAGCCGGGCCCAGGGACUAGAACGGGCAGGGGGUGCGCCGUGGCCUAUGGGGUCAGGGUGAAUGUGGACAGGGAGCGGGGGUCCUGGAACUCUGGUGCCGGUCGGUCAGCGGAACCGGGCCCCGGGACUGGUGAGAGCGGGGGGCGCCCCACGGCCGGCGGUGUCGGGGUGUGGGGGGGCGAGGGGGGGCGCAGGAGGCGGCCCAGGGCGCGACGGUCCCGGCCCCCCGCUGGUGUCGGUCGAACAGCGGAGCCGGGCCCCGGGAGUGGUGAGGGCGGGAGGCGUCCCGCGGCCGGCGGUGUCGGGGUGUUUAUGGGCAAGGGGAGGCGGCCGUGGACGACCGCGGGUGCCGGUCCGACAGCAGAGCCGCGCCCCGGGACCGGAGUCUGA
RNAcentral lists this long non-coding RNA (1975 nucleotides) under Ornithorhynchus anatinus (platypus). Its description in RNAcentral is "lncRNA (ENSOANG00000045450.1)". The record is from RNAcentral. Lineage: Eukaryota; Metazoa; Chordata; Mammalia; Monotremata; Ornithorhynchidae.